CCUACGGGAGGCAGCAGUAAGGAAUAUUGGUCAAUGGACGCAAGUCUGAACCAGCCAUGCCGCGUGCAGGAUGAAGGCCCUCUGGGUUGUAAACUGCUUUUAUAGGGGACGAAAAAGGGACUUUCUAGUUCAACUGACGGUACCCUAGGAAUAAGCACCGGCUAACUCCGUGCCAGCAGCCGCGGUAAUACGGAGGGUGCAAGCGUUAUCCGGAUUUACUGGGUUUAAAGGGUGCGUAGGUGGGUUGGUAAGUCAGCGGUGAAAUCUUCAAGCUUAACUUGGAAACUGCCAUUGAUACUAUCAAUCUUGAAUCAUCUGGAGGUAAGCGGAAUAUGUCAUGUAGCGGUGAAAUGCUUAGAUAUGACAUAGAACACCAAUUGCGAAGGCAGCUUACUACGGAUGUAUUGACACUGAGGCACGAAAGCGUGGGGAUCAAACAGGAUUAGAUACCCUGGUAGUCCACGCCCUAAACGAUGGAUACUCGACAUACGUGAUAUACUAUGUGUGUCUGAGCGAAAGCAUUAAGUAUCCCACCUGGAAGUACGAUCGCAGAUUGAAACUCAAAGGAAUUGACGGNNGAGAGNGCGAGGACGACGACGAGGGAGGAGG
RNAcentral lists this ribosomal RNA (609 nucleotides) under uncultured bacterium. RNAcentral's name for it is "bacterial SSU rRNA". It matches the Rfam family "Bacterial small subunit ribosomal RNA", at positions 338 to 951 of the family's 1533-position model. The record is from RNAcentral.